UACGUAGGGGGCGAGCGUUGUCCGGAGUUACUGGGCGUAAAGCGCACGCAGGCGGUCUGCUAAGUUUGGAGUGACAGUUGGUGGCUUAACUGCCAAAGUGCUUCGAAAACUGACAGACUUGAGGGCUUCAGAGGGACACGGAAUUCCGGGUGGAGUGGUGAAAUGCGUAGAGAUCCGGAGGAACACCAAAGGCGAAGGCAGUGUCCUGGGGAGUACCUGACGCUCAAGUGCGAAAGCCAGGGGAGCGAACGGG
This 253-nucleotide ribosomal RNA is filed under the name uncultured bacterium. Its description in RNAcentral is "partial 16S ribosomal RNA". It matches the Rfam family "Bacterial small subunit ribosomal RNA", at positions 524 to 776 of the family's 1533-position model. The record is from RNAcentral.